GUAGAGCUGAAAAGAUAACCUACUAUAUACCUGGAGGUGAAUCAUCACAAAAGGAUGAAGAGAAGGAUACACAUGUUCCUAUGAGCGAUUCUUCACUCCAGAACCAUCAAGAAGUGAGUUAAUUUCUUUCAUUUGUUGAUACUAUUCUGGUAUGUUGGUAGUUCAAUAUUUUUGGUAUAUAAUAUAAAAUGUUUAACAUUGCAUAUUGCAGUUACAAA
Long non-coding RNA from Xenia sp. Carnegie-2017, 218 nucleotides. RefSeq lists it as uncharacterized. The record is from RefSeq and is a predicted model, not a curated record. NCBI's taxonomy places the organism in Eukaryota, Metazoa, Cnidaria, Anthozoa, Malacalcyonacea, Xeniidae. The transcript has 2 exons.